UUUUGUGGGGUGCUCGAGUGGCGAACGGGUGAGUAACACGUGAGUAACCUGCCCUUGACUUUGGGAUAACUUCAGGAAACCGGGGCUAAUACCGGAUAGGAGCUCCUGCUGCAUGGUGGGGGUUGGAAAGUUUCGGCGGUUGGGGAUGGACUCGCGGCUUAUCAGCUUGUUGGUGGGGUAGUGGCUUACCAAGGCUUUGACGGGUAGCCGGCCUGAGAGGGUGACCGACCACAUUGGGACUGAGAUACGGCCCAG
RNAcentral lists this ribosomal RNA (255 nucleotides) under uncultured Actinomycetales bacterium. RNAcentral describes it as "partial 16S ribosomal RNA". It matches the Rfam family "Bacterial small subunit ribosomal RNA", at positions 78 to 334 of the family's 1533-position model. The record is from RNAcentral. Lineage: Bacteria; Bacillati; Actinomycetota; Actinomycetes; Actinomycetales.